CUGCGACAGAUUCCUUCGGGAUGAAGUUGCUUUAACCUAGCGGCGGACGGGUGAGUAACGCGUGGGCAACCUACCCUAAAGUCUGGGAUAACAGCGGGAAACUGCUGCUAAUACCGGAUAGCUUUAACCGGGGGCAUCUUCGGUUAAAGAAAGAAGCGAUUCGCUUUAGGAUGGGCCCGCGUCCCAUUAGCUGGUUGGUGAGGUAACGGCUCACCAAGGCGACGAUGGGUAGCCGGCCUGAGAGGGUGAACGGCCACACUGGGACUGAGACACGGCCCAGACUCCUACGGGAGGCAGCAGUAGGGAAUAUUGCGCAAUGGAGGGAACUCUGACGCAGCGACGCCGCGUGAGCGAUGAAGGUCUUCGGAUCGUAAAGCUCUGUCCUUGGGGAAGAAGGGAGCCGUAAGGCUUCUUGACGGUACCCAUGGAGGAAGCCCCGGCUAACUACGUGCCAGCAGCCGCGGUAAUACGUAGGGGGCAAGCGUUGUCCGGAAUUAUUGGGCGUAAAGGGUGCGUAGGCGGCCCUUUAAGUCAGAUGUGAAAGCCCACGGCUUAACCGUGGGACUGCAUUUGAAA
This 576-nucleotide ribosomal RNA is filed under the name uncultured bacterium. RNAcentral describes it as "bacterial SSU rRNA". It matches the Rfam family "Bacterial small subunit ribosomal RNA", at positions 64 to 632 of the family's 1533-position model. The record is from RNAcentral.